This 492-nucleotide ribosomal RNA is filed under the name uncultured bacterium. Its description in RNAcentral is "partial 16S ribosomal RNA". It matches the Rfam family "Bacterial small subunit ribosomal RNA", at positions 29 to 507 of the family's 1533-position model. The record is from RNAcentral.
AGUGAACGCUGGCGGUAGGCCUAACACAUGCAAGUCGAACGGCAGCACAGUAAGAGCUUGCUCUUACGGGUGGCGAGUGGCGGACGGGUGAGGAAUACAUCGGAAUCUACUUUUUCGUGGGGGAUAACGUAGGGAAACUUACGCUAAUACCGCAUACGACCUACGGGUGAAAUCAGGGGAUCUUCGGACCUUGCGCGAUUGAAUGAGCCGAUGUCGGAUUAGCUAGUUGGCGGGGUAAAGGCCCACCAAGGCGACGAUCCGUAGCUGGUCUGAGAGGAUGAUCAGCCACACUGGAACUGAGACACGGUCCAGACUCCUACGGGAGGCAGCAGUGGGGAAUAUUGGACAAUGGGCGCAAGCCUGAUCCAGCCAUACCGCGUGGGUGAAGAAGGCCUUCGGGUUGUAAAGCCCUUUUGUUGGGAAAGAAAAGCAGCAGGUUAAUACCCCGCUGUUCUGACGGUACCCAAAGAAUAAGCGCCGGCUAACUUCGUG